AGGGAUCUUCCGCAAUGGACGAAAGUCUGACGGAGCAACGCCGCGUGAGUGAUGAAGGUUUUCGGAUCGUAAAACUCUGUUAUUAGGGAAGAACAAAUGUGUAAGUAACUGUGCACAUCUUGACGGUACCUAAUCAGAAAGCCACGGCUAACUACGUGCCAGCAGCCGCGGUAAUACGUAGGUGGCAAGCGUUAUCCGGAAUUAUUGGGCGUAAAGCGCGCGUAGGCGGUUUCUUAAGUCUGAUGUGAAAGCCCACGGCUCAACCGUGGAGGGUCAUUGGAAACUGGGAAACUUGAGUACAGAAGAGGAAAGUGGAAUUCCAUGUGUAGCGGUGAAAUGCGCAGAGAUAUGGAGGAACACCAGUGGCGAAGGCGACUUUCUGGUCUGUAACUGACGCUGAUGUGCGAAAGCGUGGGGAUCAAACAGGAUUAGAUACCCUGGUAGUCCACGCCGUAAACGAUGAGUGCUAAGUGUUAGGGGGUUUCCGCCCCUUAGUGCUGCAGCUAACGCAUUAAGCACUCCGCCUGGGGAGUACGACCGCAAGGUUGAAACUCAAAGGAAUUGACGGGGGCCCGCACAAGACA
This 584-nucleotide ribosomal RNA is filed under the name Staphylococcus sp. RNAcentral's name for it is "bacterial SSU rRNA". It matches the Rfam family "Bacterial small subunit ribosomal RNA", at positions 357 to 932 of the family's 1533-position model. The record is from RNAcentral. Lineage: Bacteria; Bacillati; Bacillota; Bacilli; Caryophanales; Staphylococcaceae.